UGACGGUACCUGACUAGGAAGCUCCGGCUAACUACGUGCCAGCAGCCGCGGUAAUACGUAGGGGGCAAGCGUUAUUCGGAUUUACUGGGUGUAAAGGGAGCGUAGGCGGCAGUGCAAGUCUGAAGUGAAAGGUGGGGGCUCAACCCCCGGACUGCUUUGGAAACUGUGCUUCUGGAGUGCAGGAGAGGCAAGUGGAAUUCCUAGUGUAGCGGUGAAAUGCGUAGAUAUUAGGAGGAACACCAGUGGCGAAGGCGGCUUUCUGGACUGUACCUGACGUUGAGGCUCGAAAGCGUGGGGAGCAAACAGAAGUAGAUACCCUGGUAGUCCACGCCGUAAACGAUGAUCACCAGGUGUCGGUGGGUAUGGACCCAUCGGUGCCGCAGCAAACGCAGUAAGUGAUCCACCUGGGGAGUACGUUCGCAAGAAUGAAACUCAAAGGGAUUGGCGGGGACCCGCACAAGCGGUGGAGCAUGUGGUUUAAUUCGAAGCCACACGAAGAACCUUACCAAGUCUUGACAUCCCGUUGACGAGCGAGUAACGUCACUUUCCCUUCGGGGCAAUGGAGACAGGUGGUGCAUGGUUGUCGUCAGCUCGUGUCGUGAGACGUUGGGUUAAGUCCCGCAACGAGCGCAACCCCUAUUCUUAGUAGCCACCGAGUAAAGUCGGGCACUCUAAGGAGUCUGCCGGGGGCAACCCGGAGGAAGGUGGGGAUGACGUCAAAUCAUCAUGCCCCUUAUGAUUUGGGUUACACACGUGCUACAAUGGCGUAAACAAAGGGAAGCGAGCCUGUGAAGGUAAGCGAAACUCAGAAAUAACGUCUCAGUUCGCAUUGUAGUCUGCACCUCGAAUACAUGAAGCUGGAAUCGCUAGUAAUCGCGGAUCAGAAUGCCGCGGUGAAUACGUUCCCGGCUCUUGCACUCACCGCCCGUCA
Molecule: ribosomal RNA, 931 nt
Filed under: uncultured bacterium
Lineage: Bacteria
Description: bacterial SSU rRNA
Rfam family: Bacterial small subunit ribosomal RNA
Source: RNAcentral